Mastomys coucha (southern multimammate mouse) is the source of this 1686-nucleotide long non-coding RNA. RefSeq lists it as uncharacterized. The transcript is spliced from 3 exons. Lineage: Eukaryota; Metazoa; Chordata; Mammalia; Rodentia; Muridae. The record is from RefSeq and is a predicted model, not a curated record.
GAGUGACAGUUAAGUGGGACACUUACUGGAUUCUGUAGCUGUCAGCACCUCUCUGCCUGUGCCUAUAGCAGCACUCCCAUCUAGGCCAUCAUCCCCAUCACCUGAAGGACAGACAAAGCCCUUAUACUCACUGCCUGGACCAUCCAGGGUAUACCCCAGUCCCAUCUCUGCCUCACCAAACUCCAGGACCAUGGUCUCAGGGAUUCGGAAGCAGUGCAUCUUGCUGAAGUUUCGGGACAACAAGCGCACACUCGAAGGAGGCAGUACCAUGGAGCGUAGACGUCCAAAUGUACACUCAGGUGUGAGUGCUGUGGAGCACACUGAGUGAGCCUGAUAGGGCAAAGAUCCUGCUUGGGAGUGCCUACUUCAAUCCAGCUAUACUACCAUGAGACCUGGACUGGGGCUAGCCUGGCUGAUUGUGGGACAGGCCAGCAAGACUACCAGGCACCUGUCUUAUUAGAUUCAGGAGCUUCCAACACCCCUCAGAUUCACCCUCUUGAAGGCACAGUGACUGUGAACAUGUGAUGGCAAGUUACCUUCCUAUGAAAACAGAUCAUAAGGAUCAGGUCUUAACUUGAUUGGUCCUUAGCCCAAGACUUAAAGCACAUUCAAUAAGCAGAAAAAAAAAAACUGCACACUAGAAGGGUGGUAUGUAUGUCAGAACAGAAGAUGAUUUCUAAGUAUAUCCUCUGAGUGUAUUUGAAAUCAUAUUAGUAUUUCUUCUCAUCACAAGUAUAAAUAAGUAGGCAUUGAGAUUGUUUUAAAAGAGUACCACCUCAACAUGUUCAUGUUCGUCCACAAGGGCAACACUCUGGCAAGGAUAGCUUCCUAAGACAGCAGCCAGCCUCCUUGGAUCCCUUUGUACUCACACCUAGUAAUCAAGUAUCCACCAAGCAGCAAUGUUAAAGCAAAAGCUGACAGUGUUCAGAGCAGUCAUCAGUGUCAACUGCUGCUUACUGUGGUGCCUCAUCCCCACACCCUCAUUUACUUGCCUCCUGUCCUCCACUGCUGGGAGAGGGGCCCCACUUAGUAGUGCCCUCCACUGCUGGGAGGCAAGCCCCACCUAUUAGUGCAGGCAAGUACAAGUUCGGAGCAGCUGAGCUACCAGUGAUCUGGCUUUGUGAAUGCAGCUGAUGGGAGGUGAGUUCACUUUGCUCACCUGUUUAAGCUGUGUCUGGCUAUGUUGCUCUCACCAGUAUCAGAAAGGAAGUCUCUCUACCUGCUAGGAGCCUCACUGCUCUCUCCAGAGCCCUGUGGAGGAAGGUCAAUGGCCAAACAUGCUCCACUCCAAGGCUCUGAGGCUUUUACAAAAACCUGUUAUGUUAUAACCUCUAAAGGUUUAUGUGCACUUGUAAGAGGCAAUCUAGAGACCCCCUGUGCUCUUUACGUAUUUUCCAGUGUUAACAACUUACAAAACUAGUCAGUGUCACAGCCAGAGCACUGAGAGUGCAUGCAGUCCAAGUAAAGUACCCAGACUCCAGGACUCCUCGUUUGCAGCUACAUCCUCUUCCUAACCUGGAACCUCUGAUCUGUGUUCCUCUGGCUUCCUCAUUCAGAGUGUUCCAUAGACAAGAAUACACCCUUGGACACUGACUUUUCUCUGUCUCUAGAAAUCCACUCAAGGUGCUCAGCUCUUCAACACCUCCUACCUUUUGAUUGUGAGCAGAACUAUGAUGUGGAUAAACU